CCUACGGGAGGCAGCAGUGAGGAAUAUUGGUCAAUGGACGGAAGCCUGAACCAGCCAAGCCGCGUGCAGGAAGACGGUACUACGAGUCGUAAACCGCUUUUGUACGAGGAUAAACGCAGAUACGCGUACCCGUCUGAAAGUACCGUACGAAUAAGCAUCGGCUAACUCCGUGCCAGCAGCCGCGGUAAUACGGAGGAUUCAAGCGUUAUCCGGGUUUAUUGGGUUUAAAGGGUGCGUAGGCGGUCUGUUAAGUUAGCGGUGAAAUCCCGGGGCUCAACCUCGGCAUUGCGUUGGAGACUGUCGGGCUGGAGAGGGAGUGAGGGAGGCGGAAUGCGUGGUGUAGCGGUGAAAUGCUUAGAUAUCGUGCAGAACACCGAUUGCGAAGGCAGCGUACC
Molecule: ribosomal RNA, 395 nt
Filed under: uncultured bacterium
Lineage: Bacteria
Description: partial 16S ribosomal RNA
Rfam family: Bacterial small subunit ribosomal RNA
Source: RNAcentral